This 127-nucleotide small nuclear RNA is filed under the name Rhinolophus ferrumequinum (greater horseshoe bat). RNAcentral describes it as "U4 spliceosomal RNA (ENSRFEG00010010223.1)". It matches the Rfam family "U4 spliceosomal RNA". From Rfam's summary of the family: U4 small nuclear RNA (U4 snRNA) is a component of the major U2-dependent spliceosome. The structure of U4 snRNA from yeast and human has been reported. U4 snRNA presents a k-turn RNA motif in the 5p-SL related to recognition of Snu13 protein. The record is from Rfam by way of RNAcentral. Lineage: Eukaryota; Metazoa; Chordata; Mammalia; Chiroptera; Rhinolophidae.
AGCUUUGUGCAGUGGAAGUACGUAGCCAAUGAGGUUUAUCCGAGGUGCAAUUAUUGCUAAUAGGAAUACAUAUCAGACAUUCCCCAGUCCUAUAUCCCCUAGGGGGGAAUCUCUGGCUGUUAGCUGC